UUGUGCGGGAACCCCGGGUUAGAAGCAGGGAGCUGUCACCAGCCAGAGGAAACCUGGGAGGACAGUCACGUAAACACUGGCUAGAGAGAAGUGACCUUGGGACGAGGGGCACAGCCAGCCCGAGAUGAACCUCACGGUGCCAGGGGAAUAAAUUCACUGAGCUUCUUCUCUUUCUUCCCCUGACCUCCUGGGGGGCUCCCCACUGGCCCCACCUGACCACAGCCAGAGGGUGAGAGAGGGUAGGAUCAGCAUGGAGAGCGGACCCAGAGGGAAACAGAAAACAUCACGCCCCAGAACUGGGCGUCUAUGCUUUGAACAUCCAACAGCCCAGCCUCUCAUCUUAUGGGUCCUGGUUCAGCCUGACCACAAGGCUCCUCACCUGGCAGGCCCCAGGCUCAGGGUGACAUCAGGGCUUGAUGACCUCAUAGUAUAGACCAACAGCCUGGAAACAGUGGCCUUGAUAAUCCUAUCUCUGGGAUUCUAGCCUAAGGAAUGCUAAAGCCCAUAAUACUUGGGAUUCUUUUCAUUCUCUGCUAGGGAGGGCUGACCCACUGCCCACAGUGUGCACACAGUCUUGGCCUUGGCCCCACUGAGCUCGGCCAGGAAACCCCAGGAGACAGACAUCCUUGAAGACUGAUGGCAAAAACUGAUGUAAAAGGCCACAAACUAAUCACCACCUUGGUAUCAGAAAAGGAAGUCAGGACACACAGAGAGACCCCAGGAAUACGUGUCCACAGGCAGGCCACGUGGGGACACAGUGAGAAAUCAGCCACUGGCAAGCUGAGGAGACGGGCCGCAGAAGAAGCCAAACCUUCCAACACCUUGGUGUCUGACAUGCAGCUCCCAGAACUGUGAGAAGUAAAUGUAAGCCCCCCUCCCCGACCCAUGCCGCAGUGCUCUGUCGUGGCGACCCUAGCAGACGGACACACCCACCCACCCACAGUAGAAUAGACUUGUGCCCCCUGGCACGCCAGGCUUCAAGGAAAUGUCUGCUGUAUCACCCCCCACACGUUGAGGUGGCUGUCCACUCACAUGCCCACCUGCCCCGAAAGCCUGGGAGCUCCCCAAGAACCACGUCUAGGUCUCUGUUGUCUCACCCCAUCCUAAAUGGCGGGUGUCAGGAGGGGGUAACUGAGAUGACACGUGUAAAGCCCUCCGUGUGGAGCCACGAGGGCUCAGCGCCCAGUGCAUCGGGACCCCCGGGCCACCGCUCACCUGCUCAUGCCCUCAGCCGGACCACGACAGGUGCUCCUGAGGAACUGCUGAGCUGAGUUGAAAGACGGGCUGUGAGCAACUGAAUAUACACGCAGACAACGGCCAGACCGAACAUAAAAACAGAACUGUGGCCCACAGCCUGCAGCACCCUGCCCAGAGAGCCAACCCACAGCCACGGUAACCAGCCGAGGAGGCCAGUCUGCUCCAGGUCAGACCUGCAGGGAGUCAGACUGCCAUCUCUUCUGACGGUCCAGGAAGCCCUGUAACACUCGCGUAACAACUGGCCCCAAACAGCCGGGACUUGACUACUAACAACGUCUCUGAUUUUUAUUCCAAUUUCCAACUUAGGGCUAACUCCGGAAAGCCAAAAUGCACCCUAACCAGUCACGUAGGAUGCCCCCUGCAAGCUGGCCUGCCUCCAGCUUCGCCUUUUAUCCUCUACAAAGCUUUCCCGCCCCUCCGCUGCCUUUGAGUCUCUCCUCGAUGCCGCCCGCCAGCUGCUCACUCCCCUGCGGGGGCCAGCUCUGAAUAAACAGCCUGUGCUUCUCA
Felis catus (domestic cat) is the source of this 1764-nucleotide long non-coding RNA. RefSeq lists it as uncharacterized. The record is from RefSeq and is a predicted model, not a curated record. NCBI's taxonomy places the organism in Eukaryota, Metazoa, Chordata, Mammalia, Carnivora, Felidae. The transcript is spliced from 2 exons.